GCAGCAUGAUUUGUAGCAAUAUAGAUUGAUGGCGACCGGCGCACGGGUGAGUAACGCGUAUGCAACUUACCUAUCAGAGGGGGAUAGCCCGGCGAAAGUCGGAUUAAUACCCCAUAAAACAGGGGUCCCGCAUGGGAAUAUUUGUUAAAGAUUCAUCGCUGAUAGAUAGGCAUGCGUUCCAUUAGGCAGUUGGCGGGGUAACGGCCCACCAAACCGACGAUGGAUAGGGGUUCUGAGAGGAAGGUCCCCCACAUUGGUACUGAGACACGGACCAAACUCCUACGGGAGGCAGCAGUGAGGAAUAUUGGUCAAUGGCCGAGAGGCUGAACCAGCCAAGUCGCGUGAAGGAAGAAGGAUCUAUGGUUUGUAAACUUCUUUUAUAGGGGAAUAAAGUGGAGGACGUGUCCUUUUUUGUAUGUACCCUAUGAAUAAGCAUCGGCUAACUCCGUGCCAGCAGCCGCGGUAAUACGGAGGAUGCGAGCGUUAUCCGGAUUUAUUGGGUUUAAAGGGUGCGUAGGUGGUGAUUUAAGUCAGCGGUGAAAGUUUGUGGCUCAACCAUAAAAUUGCCGUUGAAACUGGGUUACUUGAGUGUGUUUGAGGUAGGCGGAAUGCGUGGUGUAGCGGUGAAAUGCAUAGAUAUCACGCAGAACUCCGAUUGCGAAGGCAGCUUACUAAACCAUAACUGACACUGAAGCACGAA
This 700-nucleotide ribosomal RNA is filed under the name uncultured Bacteroidales bacterium. RNAcentral describes it as "bacterial SSU rRNA". It matches the Rfam family "Bacterial small subunit ribosomal RNA", at positions 67 to 757 of the family's 1533-position model. The record is from RNAcentral. Lineage: Bacteria; Pseudomonadati; Bacteroidota; Bacteroidia; Bacteroidales.